GGGAAAUUGUAAGGUAAGCGCUUGAAAAAGAAUUAGCUUUGUACAGCGUUACGACUCGUCUUGUUUGUUGGGAGCAAGGCAUGCGAUCAGAGCGGAAGCUUUGGGUGUACAUCGUAACGUAAAAGGAGGUCUCUUCUUGGGCCAGAGAAGCAGAUGGGGAAACAGAAGAAGGGCCUGCCUCAGGGGAGCGUGCUUGCUUCAUCCAUGUUGAACAUUUACACCAAUGAUCAGCCACUGCCAGAAGGGACAGAGAGUGUCAUCUAUGCUGACGAUUGUGCCAUCACCACCCAAGCAGGGAGCUCUGAAAUGGUAGAACAGAAGCUCCCUGAAGCUUUAGGUGCUCUUACUGCCUCUUACAGGGAAAACCAGCUGAUUCCUAAUCCAUCUAAAACACAGACGUCUAAAACACACACACCUUAAGAACAGACAAGCAUCUCCAGCUCUGAGUAUCACCUGGGAAGGAAUCCCACUGGAGCACUGCAGCACACCCAAAUACGUGGGAGUUACCCUGGACCACGUUCUGACCUAUAAGAAGCACUGCUUGACUACAAAGCAAAUAAUGGGAGCAAGAAACAGUAUCCUACGAAGGCUGACUGGCACAACAUGGGCAUCACAACCAGAUACAAUGAAGACAUCUUCCCUUGCGCUUUGCUUCUCUGCUGCUGAAUACACCUACCCAGUAUGGAACACAUCUCACCAUGUUACAACAGUGGAUGUGGCUCUUAAUGAGACAUGCCACAUAAUCACAGGAUGCCUACACCCCAAACCACUGGAUAUAUUAUACUGCUUAUCCGGUAUUGCACCAACUGACAUCCGCUGGGAAGUAGCAGGCAGUAAUGAAAGGAACAAGGCAUGGACAUCUCCCGUCUAUCCUCUGUUUGGAUAUUAGCCAGCAUGCCAACGCCUUAAAUCAAGAAAUAACUUCCUAAGAUCUACAGAGAUAAUCGCUGAGAUGCCUCAGCAAGCAAGAGUCCAAAAGUGGCAGGGUAAAACCCAGAACCUCAAGCCAUGGUUGAUACCGGAUGAGAGACUCCCUCCUGGGCACUUGGAAGGUGCUUAAUAGACUACACUCUGGUCCCAUGAGAUGCAGAACCAGCCUCAAGAAAUGGGGCCACUAAAUAGAGUCCACAACAUGCGAGUGUGGAGAAGAGCAAACCACAGACCACCUAUGACAAUGCAGCCUGAGCCCUGCCACAUGCACAGUGGAGGACCUUCUUAUACCAACACCAGAGGCAUUCCAAGUGGCCAGCUACUGGUCAAAGCACAUUUAGUUUAAUGACAAGUUUUUAAAUUUGUUUGUGUUUUUAAAUACAUUACAACUGUGCCCUUGGUUUGCUUCUGACACAAUUAAUCAAUAAAUAAACAAAUAAUAUUAAAGCAAUUUGACACCACUUGAUCUGCCACCGUUCAAUGUUAUGGGAGUUGUAGUUUGACAAGGCCUUUGGCUGCUGCCUCAAUAAACUAGAACUUCUAGGAUUCUAUAACAUUCUGCUGCGUGCAGAUAAAAAGUAAAUGCAACUAAUUUUCCUAACUCUAUUUUUUCCGUGUAAAAUAAUAUCACUGAACUUAGUUUUGUUCAAAAUACAUCGGAUGAAGAAAACUACUUGACAUCCAUUACUAAAAAAACCCCCAAAAAGCAUGACAAUUCAUUGGGUUGCUAUAAAGGCUCCUGCAUUUUUAACAAAGCAUAAUCCUGCACCUUUUGAGACCGCCUCGGAAACCUCAGAGUGCACAGACCGGUUUCAUUUGCAUACAGCCCAUGAGGCACCGCAGGAGGACUUCCGACUCGAUUUGACAGGGACUAUCUUACGGCAGGGCCGGAGAAGCAGAUGGGAAAACAGAAGAAGGGCCUGCCUCAGGGGAGCGUGCUUGCUCCAUCCAUGUUGAACAUUUACACCAAUGAUCAGCCACUGCCAGAAGGGACAGAGAGUUUCAUCUAUGCUGACGAUCGUGACAUCACCGCCCAGGCAGGGAGCUCUGAAAUGGUGAAACAGAAGGUCUCUUAAGCUUUAGGUGCUCUUACUGCCUAUUAUUAUUAGGAGCUCUGGUGGCGAAGUGCGUUAAAGCACUGAGCUGGAGAACGAAAGGUCCCAGGUUCAAAUUUUGGGAGCGGAAUGAGCGCCCGCUGUUAACUCCAGCUCCUGCCGACCUAGCAGUUCGAAAACAUGCCAAUGUGAGUAGAUCAAUAGGUACCGCUCUGGCGGGAAGUUAACAGCGCUCCAUGCAGUCAUGCCAACCACAUGACCUUGGAGGUGUCUACGGACAACGCUGGCUGUUCGGCUUAGAAACAGAGAUGAGCACCAACCCCCAGAGUCGGUCACGACUGGACUUAACAUCAGGGGAAAACCUUUACCUUUUACUGCCUAUUACAGGGAAAACCAGCUGAUUCUUAAUCCAUUUAAAAUACAGAAGUGUGCUUUUCACCUUAAGAACAAACAAGUAUCUCCAGCUCUGAGGAUCACCUGGGAAGGAAUCCCACUGGAGCAUUGCAGCACACCCAAAUACGUGGGAGUUAUCCUGGACCACAUUCUGGCCUAUAAGAAGCACUGCUUGACUGUAAAGCAAAUAAUGGGCUCAAAAAACAAUCUCACAUGAAAGCUGACUGGCACAACCUGGGGAUCACAACCAGAUACAGAUAAGACAUCUUCAUUAGCGCUUUGCUUCUCUGCUGCUGAAUAUGCAUGCCCAGUAUGGAACACAUCUCACCACGUUACAACAGUGGAUGUGGCUCUUAAUGAGACAUGCCACAUUAUCACAGGAUGUCUAUGCCCCACACCACUGGAUAAAUUAUACUGUUUAGCCUGCAUUGCACCACUUGACAUCCACCGGGAAGUAGCAGGCAUUAAUAAUGAAAGGACCAAGGCCUGGACAUCUCCCGCCCAUCCUCUGUUUGGAUAUCAGCCAGCACGUCAAUGCCUGAAAUCAAGAAAUAGCUUCCUAAGAUCUACAGAGAUACUUGCAGGAACACCUCAGCAAGCAAGAGUCCAAAAAUGGCAGGCUAAAACACGGAUCCUCAAGCCAUGGUUGAUAGUGGAUGAGAGAUUCCCUCCUGGGCACACAGAAGACUGGGCGACUUGGAAGGUGCUUAAUAGACUGCACUUUGGCCCCAUGAGAUGUAGAACCAGCCUCAAGAAUUGGGGCCACUAAGUGGAGUCCACGACAUGCGAGUGUGGAGAAGAGCAAACCACAGACCACCUAUGACAAUGCAGCCUGAGCCCUGCCACAUGCACAGUGGAGGACCUUCUUAUAGCAACACCAGAGGCAUUCAAAGCAGCCAGCUACUGGUCAAAGGACAUUUAGUAUAAUGACAAGUUUUUAACUUUUUUGUGUUUUUAAAUACAUUACAACUGUAUCCUUGGUUUGCUUCUGACAUGAUACAUAAACAAAUAAACAAAAAAAAAAACCCCAAAGUGUAUUAAGGCAAUUUGACUCCACUUGAUUUACCACAGCUCAAUGCUAUGGGAGUUGUAGUUUGACAAGACCUUUAGCUGCUUCCUCAAUAAACUACAACGUCUAGGAUUCUAUAACAUUCAACUCUGGGCAAAUAAAAAGUAAAUGCAACCAACUGUUUUCCCAAGUCUAUUUCUUUCCACGUAAAAUAAUAUCACUGAAGUUAGUGUUGUUCAAAAUACAUUGGCUGCAGAAAACUACUUGAGCAUCUAUUGCACACACACAAAAAAAGGUAUGACCAUUCAUUGGGUGCAUUUUUCACAAAGCAUAACCCUGCACCUUUUGAGACCGCCUCGGAAACCUCAGAGCGCGGAGGCCGGGUUUAUUUGCAUAUAGCCCAUGAUGCCCCGCGUGAGGACUUCCGACUGGAUUUGAUAGCGGGAAUCGUAAGGGAAGCACUUGAAAAAAAAAGCAGCUUUUGAAAGCGAUGCGACUCUUGUUUGUUCGGAGCAAGGCAUACGAUCGGAGCGGAAGCUUUAAGUAAACAUCCUAACGUAAAAGGAGGUGGCCCAUGAGUUUGAUAUAGCUUUGUCAACCAGAUCGUCGGAUUGUUCUUAGUCUGGGACCUAUCCCAGCAAUUUUUGGAGGCCUGCCGUCGGGCUAAUAUUGUACUGUAAAGGCAGUAUAUAUGCUGGCAGUAUCUGUCUUUAUCCUGGGCGAUAUCCUUGUAGAUGGCCAAUUUGGCCCUUGGGCUCCGAGUUCCCUGGGUACCCGUAUUGGAAACUACAACUCCCAGGUCCGAGAUGGUAAAGCAUCAUGGUGUCAAGAGAAGGGUUAUUAGUAGGUGGUGAAGCUCCAGUGAGGAAAAGGGCAGAACUGGGCAAGGUAAACAUUCAUACUUGCUGAAGAAACUUUGGUCACUGUAGCCAGCUUUUCCAAGCCACGUUUCCAAGCUCUGGAAAGGGUUAAACCAUUUCUGCAAAGUUAGAGACGUGGCCAAGGACAGCCCUUGUCAAUCACAGAAGACAAGAUCUAGCUGAAUGUCAUGAUGGCAUGAUGACAACAGUUUUGGACAGCAAUGGCUCCCAAAGCGACCAUUUGAGAUGCAGGUGGAAUGCCAGGAGAAAAUGCUGCUGGAACAUGGCCAUACAGUCUGGAAACCACACAAGAACCCAGGACCUAUUUUUUCUCAUAACUUGAGGACUGCCGCUACAGUGCUGCUUGUAAUAUAUUCUUCAAGGAAAUGUUGCAAAAUUCAGGUUCCUUCCCAAAGUCCACCACUGGCAUAAGAACAACCAUACCUUUUGCUAUAUCAUAGUUAUCGCUUAUUACCUUUUAGAUGGUAAUAUAUACACAUAUCACAAUCAUGGGGACCAAAAAGGUGGUAAGAUUGACAGUAGGAAGCUAUGUGCCUUUCCCCCAGUUGAAUGAGUCAAGAGUUAUUGGCAGAGUUGUAAAUUACUACGGUAGUUGGAAACAACCUGAGGGCAACCAGUUGCUUCUUUAAAAAUCCAGUGCUGGCUCAGUGGCUUUGCGCCUUGCUAUUUGCCCCCAUUCUGCUCUCAUUGUGUAUUUGCAAAUAAAUGCUGCAUAGAUACUGCAUAUCUCUCAAAGCCCUUUCAAGAUACACAGUCUAAGGCCACCUCUCAGAAUGGCUGAAACACAGCCAAAAAUAAAAUAUAUCACUAGAAAUGGGAACGAAUAAACAGAGGGCUUAAAUCCCUUCCUCAGCAUUCGGUUUAAAGAACACAGUGAUGCUCCUAAUAGUCAUGUUCUAUCUCUGCUAUUUAAAAAACCUCCAGAAAAGUUUAUAUGAAUCCCAUUUGUUUAUUUAUCCUUCAAAACAAGAACAAUUGUUAAGCAACAAUGUAGUCAUCUGUACAAUAUCUCAAUUUAAGUUUCAUUUGGAAAUUGGAAUGGCUCCAUUUAGUUGGAAGUUUAAUGGUGAGUCCAUACCAUGUCCAUAAUUGCGAUAAAUUAUACUGAGCUACAAAUGCAAAAAAGGAUUACCAGGGAUGGACAACUUUCAGAAGUCAGAGAAUUCAGAAGUCAGGGAAGUCAUGCUACCCCUCUAUUCUGCCUUGGUCAGACCACACCUGGAAUACUGUGUCCAAUUCUGUACACCACAGUUGAAGGGAGAUGUUGACAACCUGGAAUGUGUCCAGAGGAGGACGAUCAAGGGUCUGGAGAACAAGCCCGAUGAGGAGCGGCUUAAAGAGCUGGGCAUGUUUUGUGGGUGUUAUUAUUGCUAUUUUAAUUGUAAGGUUUUUACUUGUUUAAUAAUGUGUUUACUAUACUGCUUAUGUAUUGUAUGUUGUUUGUACCUAUUGUUGGAAACCGCCCUGAGUCCAUUUGGGGAGAUAGAGUGGUAUAUAAAUAAAGUUUUACUUACUUACAUGUUUAGCCUGCAGAAGAGAAGGCUGAGAGGAGAUAUGAUAGUCAUGUAUAAAUAUGUGAGGGGAAUUCAUAGGGAGGAGGGAGCAAGCUUGUUUUCUGUUGCCCUGGAGACUAGGAUGCGGAACAACGGCUUCAGACUACAGGAAAGGAGAUUCCACCUGAACAUUAGGAAGAUCUUCCGCACUGUGAGAGCUGUUCAGCAGUGGAACUCUCUGUGCCGGAGAGUAGUGGAGGCUCCUUCUUUAGAGGAUUUUAAGCAGAGGCUGGAUGGCCAUCUGUCGGGGGUGCUUUGAAUGUUAUUUUUCUGCUUCUUGGCAGGGGGUUGGACUGGAUGGCCCAUGACAUCUCCUCCAUCUCUAUGAUUUUAUGAUUCUAUUAAUUGUUUUGCAUUUAUCCUUAGCCCAAGCUCUUUGGUGGUUCACACUACCAACACAUAAAAUAUUUUGCUACAGAACAUUUAAUAUAUAUAUCAUCGGGUUUCAUUGCCAAGAUUUAUUCAGAGGUGCUUUUGCCCUUGCCUUCAUCUGAGGCUGAGAGAGUGUGACUUGCCCAAGGUUACUCAAUGGGUCUCCAUGGCUGAGCGGAGAUUUGAAUGCUGGUCUUCCAACAUACAAACCACUAUAACCAUACUAUAAACCACUAUACCACACUGGCUCUUGCAGUUGGAGGAAUACCUGCAAUGACAUUUCUACAUUGGCAGGGGACAGUAAAACCUGCAAAACAGUUGUGAGCUCCAUUCAUCCUAUAGACUACAUUUUGUGGCCAAGGUCCCAUGAUCCUGCUUAAUAUAUGGCUGUACAAGCAAUAGAAUGAAGUACAUGUUCCAUUUUACUGCACAAAUAGUAAUUUUAUAUGAUAUGAGAUAGAGGGCUGAGUUUUAUAAACAGUAAGUACUGCAUUUCCAGAAAGGAAGGCUUCAAUCAGACAGGGUUUUCUCACCCAUUUCACAUUCUCCAGCCCUGUUCGGAACAAGCAAUUUAGUGGCCACUAAGCAGUACUGUUGCUGUUUCUGAAACAGUAUAAUUUCAAUUUAUGCAACUUAGUAAAACAAAAAGUCCCUCCUUUUAACUCUCACAGGCCAACAUGAGAUAUUUAAUCCCUUACAUUCAGAAUUGCUUUCAGAAUCCAUUCAAGAAUCAGCAGAAAUGUCAGUAUUCGCAUUCCUCUAGUUUUUACAUAUGAUGUGCAAUUGACUAUUGGAAUGGUCCAGUCUACGUUUGUGGAUCACAUAAUUAAUUGUGAUGGUAUUGUUUUUAAUUUUUUUUAUUGUUGUUAGUUGUUUUUAUAAUUCCAUUUUAAAUGUUUAUUUUAUUAUGCUCUGUUUUUAAAGGCAUCGAAUAGUUGCCGAUGUGUAAAGCUACCUUGAGUCCCCUUCGGCGUUGAGAAAGACGGGGUAGAAGUGUUGUGAAAAAAUAAAUAACUAGGCCUCCUUCCACACAGGUGUAUAAAAUCCACAUUGAACUGGAUUAUAUAGCAGGGUGGACCCAGUUCAAAGCAGAUCUUGUGGAUUAUCUGCCUUGUUAUUCUGGGUUAUAUGGCUGUAUGGAAGGACCCUAGGAUAUGUGUGUUCUAACAACAUCCGAGGCAAAGGUUAAUAAGGAAAAUGAAGACGAAUGAAGAAGUUUUAGAAGUUGCAGCUGUUUACUUUUGUCAAUAAAACCAUUUUAUUUUUCUCCUUUGUCAUGGUGAACAAACCACUAUUUUUGCCUUUAGGAUACAUGCCAUAAAGUUUUGGGUCAAAAAGACACAAACAAUAAUUAAGCAAAAGAGAAGUAAUAUACUUUUGGGAUCAGGUAGUUGACCACAUUCAGGAGAAAUCAAAAUUUCUUCCAUUGUGGUGAGGACAUCCAAGAGAAGUUAUUUCCAGUGUUAACCCUAACCACUAACUCUAACCACAACUCUAGCCCUUAAUUUUUUUUUUUUACUAAGGUCAGAAAAUACCCACAGCUCACUCAAUACAAAGUUAUUUUGGUUUGGUUUUGUGAUGUCAGGAAAUGCUAGCUGAGCAGAGCUAGAUUUAUGUUUUCAGCUCAUUUCUGCACUCUCAAUGAAUGUGACAGCAAAAGUGGUCUCUUUGUUUAUUAGUCACAAGCAUUUCAAAACAUGUAUUUGUGUAAUAUUGUAUUUACAGGCAGUCUCCAGGUUACAAACAUCCGUCUUACAAAUGACUAAAAGUUAAGAACAGGAGUGAGACAACAGAAGUGAGAGGAAAUCUACCCUUAGGAAGGGAAAUUCACUCCUGAAACAGUUAUCAUGGGGAAAAGGUGAAGCUUUAUCACCAAUCCUUGCUUCCACUGAGAUGGGAUUUUUUGACAGAUCUAUUUGUACAAUUCAUUGUAUAUUCAUUAAUGUGCUGGUAUGUUUGGAAACUGUGAAUUAAUCAUGUUGGGGACAGCAGUUUGUGGAUCUUCUUUGCCAUUAAGUAAGUUCUAAGAGGAAUAUAACUCACCAAUCAACAGGAGGGUUGUUCAAUGCCUGUAUCCUGGAUCUAUUUAGACCUAUUUAUCAACUUUAACCAAUAAAAUUGUGGCCUGUUUUUGUCCAA
Long non-coding RNA from Anolis carolinensis (green anole), 8332 nucleotides. RefSeq lists it as uncharacterized. The record is from RefSeq and is a predicted model, not a curated record. The transcript has 5 exons. NCBI's taxonomy places the organism in Eukaryota, Metazoa, Chordata, Lepidosauria, Squamata, Anolidae.